CGAGCACGCGCGUGUGGCAUAUCAAUAAGCGGAGGAAAAGAAACUAACAAGGAUUCCCUUAGUAACGGCGAGUGAAGCGGGAAGAGCUCAAAUUUGAAAUCUUCAAGGUUCUACCUUGACGAAUUGUAGUUUAUAGAAGUGUUUUCUGUUAGUGGAGUGGCAAAAGUUCUUUGGAAUAGGACAUCAUAGAGGGUGAGAAUCCCGUAUUUGGUCAUUCCUCCUAGCGUUGUGAUACACUUUCAACGAGUCGGAUUGUUUGGGAAUGCAGUCCAAAAUGGGUGGUAAAUUUCAUCUAAAGCUAAAUAUUGGCGAGAGACCGAUAGCGAACAAGUACCGUGAGGGAAAGAUGAAAAGAACUUUGAAAAGAGAGUUAAACAGUACGUGAAAUUGUCAAAAGGGAAGCGUUUGACACCAGUGUUGUUUUUCCGAAAAUCAAUUACUGAAUGGUUUGAUUUUAGAGUUCAUGACCUUCAAUCGCUUGUCUCCUUUCUUUACUGUACUUUCGUAAUGCACUUUUCGGUUAACAAGUCAACAUCAAUUUCUUUUGUUGUAAAAGGGUAUAGAGGAAGGUGGCUUUACUUUCGGAGUAAAGUGUUUAUAGCCUUUUACCUCUGCAAUCGGAGAGAUUGAGGUCUGCAGCGUAGAUCCUUCGGGGUUAGAUACGUUUGUGCUAAGUUAUAGCUUUUCAUAGACAACUUGUUGACUAUGUUUAGUCUUGUAGCUUACUCGCUUACGCUAUUUUACCUACGCUUAGGAUGUUGAUGUGAUACUGCGAGCA
RNAcentral lists this ribosomal RNA (778 nucleotides) under uncultured Neocallimastigales. RNAcentral describes it as "partial large subunit ribosomal RNA". It matches the Rfam family "Eukaryotic large subunit ribosomal RNA", at positions 19 to 646 of the family's 3401-position model. The record is from RNAcentral. Lineage: Eukaryota; Fungi; Neocallimastigomycota; Neocallimastigomycetes; Neocallimastigales.